GGGAAAAGACCUAGAAGAGUUAUCACUAGUGGUAUCUAGUGACACUUCUACUUGUUCAAAGGACCAUAUUCCUUGAUCUCUUUCCCUCAUAUUUCCCUGUUGGAUUUCCAUGAUGGCCUGCUCUGUUCCUGGCAUCAGACCUACAGCAUCUUUUUGACUGUGCUCUUAGCUGCUGCAUCCAGGGGAGGCCAUGAACUGAACGAUGUCAGGUGCAGGAAGUGAUCUUUAUGAACAAGGAAUUCAAGCCCUGGAGAUUUGGAGCCUGGAUUACAGGUAGAGCUAAAUUGCCAGUCAUCUCCGCAUGGAACUACUAAGAAGCCUAGACACUCAAGCCCCAGGGUUGGGGUUGAGGAAGAAGAAAGUGAUCACGCUCAAGAAUUCAACAAGGCUUUCUGAAAUGCACAUUUGAUGGGAAAAAAUAGCUUUCUAUAAUAGCGACAAUUGGUUAAUAAAAAUUUAUUAAGCACCUACUACAUGCCAGGCUUUGUGCUA
Phascolarctos cinereus (koala) is the source of this 492-nucleotide non-coding RNA. NCBI's taxonomy places the organism in Eukaryota, Metazoa, Chordata, Mammalia, Diprotodontia, Phascolarctidae. The record is from RefSeq and is a predicted model, not a curated record.